UUUUUUUUAUUUUCUGUACAUGAUUUGUUGAAUAGAGGAACGGAGUUUGCAGAAACAUAUGUUCAUGUGCGCACUGUGCAUUGUCCAAAGAAAAUGUCAGCUGGCGGCAAACUGGCUUGAGAUUACUCGACGGUGUCGGAUUCCUUGCGAAAUGCAAAGUAUCCGUCAGUCCAUCAUCCCAGACUUUAAACACGCUUGGCACAUGAAAUUAACCCAAAAUAUCAGUAUACCAUCCCAGCUGUGUAUCACAUAUCAUACGGGGUGCGGCGGCGGCAGGUAGAGAAGCAUUGAGGUAUAGAUAGCUUGAUACAAACAAGUUCAUUCCACGUAUGACGCGCCGAUCGAGAGUAUCAUUCUUUCGUAGUGUGCUACAACCUUCGUCCUUCAUGUCGAUGGCCUAUAUAGCUAUACGACUAGCUAGUUGUCGUAGAUGCGGCACUCCUCGGAGUCCGGGUUGUCCUUGCAGUACUUCUCGAGCGGGUCGUUGGCGUUGGUCUCCUUGAGGCUGUCGCGGGCGUGGCUGGCCGUGGCGCUGAGCUCCUCCACCUCGUCCCACGCCGCCGCGCACUCGGCGUCGCCCUUCUGGUCGUCCGCGCACGUCUCCUCCGCCUGCUUGAUGCUCUCCGACACCUUGUCGGAGAUCUCCGGCGGCGUGGCCGGCCCGCUGGACCGCACGGCGACCAACCGCCCGCCGCCGCGGCGCGCCGCCGCGGGGAACCAGACGACGCGCUUGGCGCCCGCCCUCCUCGGGACGACGAUCAGCACGUCGCCGCCGCCCGCCGCCGCGAAGGUCGUCGUCGUCACC
This 805-nucleotide long non-coding RNA is filed under the name Zea mays. RNAcentral describes it as "long non-coding RNA (ZMAY_LNC005201)". The record is from RNAcentral. Lineage: Eukaryota; Viridiplantae; Streptophyta; Magnoliopsida; Poales; Poaceae.